UUCAUCGUCAAGUUUAUGCUAUAUGUGUAUGAACUGCAACCCUCUACAUGAGGAUGGGACUUUCUUCAGUUCUGUCGUAGAAGCAUGAAGAGGGGAGCUACAGAUGUUUUCAAUCUCUACUUAAUUAAGCAUUGCCAGCUGCUUGAGGGUGGCAUUUGGCAAGUGCAGAGCUCCUGUACCACACUUUGCUGCUCUCUACAACUUACAGAGAUGCUUUAACAAAAUCUACAUGAUUUCAGCAAGUUAUUACUUCAACAAGCAUCAUUUUGUAUCAUAGGAUUUUUCAAGACCUUUGUUUAAAUAAAGUUAUCUGUUUUACUUAUGUGGAAAUGAGGGAUUAGGAAGACCUGUGCUAAAUUACACAGCGAGGCAGUCAAAAGUACUAUGAGAAUAACUUUUAACAUAGGCUUUCAAAAGAAAUCAUUUGUUUUUCUGAAAUUAAAAGCUUC
This 449-nucleotide long non-coding RNA is filed under the name Equus caballus (horse). RNAcentral describes it as "lncRNA (ENSECAG00000051779.1)". Lineage: Eukaryota; Metazoa; Chordata; Mammalia; Perissodactyla; Equidae. The record is from RNAcentral.